ACGGUGGCGGCCUAAGCCCG
This 20-nucleotide small nuclear RNA is filed under the name Arabidopsis thaliana (thale cress). RNAcentral describes it as "snRNA_16350". Lineage: Eukaryota; Viridiplantae; Streptophyta; Magnoliopsida; Brassicales; Brassicaceae. The record is from RNAcentral.